This 899-nucleotide ribosomal RNA is filed under the name uncultured bacterium. RNAcentral's name for it is "bacterial SSU rRNA". It matches the Rfam family "Bacterial small subunit ribosomal RNA", at positions 8 to 899 of the family's 1533-position model. The record is from RNAcentral.
AGAGUUUGAUCCUGGCUCAGGAUGAACGCUAGCGAUAGGCUUAACACAUGCAAGUCGAGGGGUAACAUGGGAGUAGCUUGCUACUUCUGAUGACGACCGGCGGAUGGGUGAGUAACGCGUAUGCAACUUGCCUCUUAGUGGGGAAUAACCCGGAGAAAUCCGGACUAAUACCGCAUACACUUAGUUGUCCGCAUGGAUGAUUAAGGAAAGAUUUAUUGCUAAGAGAUAGGCAUGCGUUCCAUUAGUUAGUUGGUGAGGUAACGGCUCACCAAGGCAUCGAUGGAUAGGGGAGCUGAGAGGCUUAUCCCCCACAUUGGGACUGAGACACGGCCCAAACUCCUACGGGAGGCAGCAGUGAGGAAUAUUGGUCAAUGGAGGAAACUCUGAACCAGCCAAGUCGCGUGAAGGAUGACUGUCCUAUGGAUUGUAAACUUCUUUAGUAGGCGAGUAAACGUAGGUACGAGUACCUACCUGCAAGUAGCCUAAGAAUAAGUAUCGGCUAACUCCGUGCCAGCAGCCGCGGUAAUACGGAGGAUACGAGCGUUAUCCGGAUUUAUUGGGUUUAAAGGGUGCGUAGGUGGCAGAUUAAGUCAGUGGUGAAAAGCUGUGGCUCAACCAUAGUCUUGCCGUUGAAACUGGUUUGCUUGAGUACAGUUGAUGUAGGCGGAAUGCGUAGUGUAGCGGUGAAAUGCAUAGAUAUUACGCAGAACUCCGAUUGCGAAGGCAGCUUACAAAAGUGUAACUGACACUGAUGCACGAAAGCGUGGGUAUCAAACAGGAUUAGAUACCCUGGUAGUCCACGCCGUAAACUAUGAUUACUCAGAGUAUGCGAUAUAAUGUAUGCUCUCAAGCGAAAGCAUUAAGUAAUCCACCUGGGGAGUACGUCGGCAACGAUGAAA